RNAcentral lists this ribosomal RNA (253 nucleotides) under uncultured bacterium. RNAcentral describes it as "partial 16S ribosomal RNA". It matches the Rfam family "Bacterial small subunit ribosomal RNA", at positions 524 to 776 of the family's 1533-position model. The record is from RNAcentral.
UACGGAGGGGGUUAGCGUUGUUCGGAAUUACUGGGCGUAAAGCGUACGUAGGCGGAUCAGAAAGUUAGGGGUGAAAUCCCGAGGCUCAACCUCGGAACUGCCUCUAAAACUCCUGGUCUUGAGUUCGAGAGAGGUGAGUGGAAUUCCAAGUGUAGAGGUGAAAUUCGUAGAUAUUUGGAGGAACACCAGUGGCGAAGGCGGCUCACUGGCUCGAUACUGACGCUGAGGUACGAAAGUGUGGGGAGCAAACAGG